GACGGGUGAGUAACUUCUGGGAAUCUAGAAUUUUCUACGGAACAACUGAGGGAAACUUCAGCUAAUACCGUUUACCCCCGAGAGGAGAAAGAUUUAUCGGAGAAGGAUGAGCCCGCGUUGGAUUAGCUAGUUGGUGGGGUAAAGGCCUACCAAGGCGACGAUCCAUAGCUGGUCUGAGAGGAUGAUCAGCCACACUGGGACUGAGACACGGCCCAGACUCCUACGGGAGGCAGCAGUGGG
This 240-nucleotide ribosomal RNA is filed under the name uncultured Phyllobacterium sp. RNAcentral describes it as "partial 16S ribosomal RNA". It matches the Rfam family "Bacterial small subunit ribosomal RNA", at positions 100 to 358 of the family's 1533-position model. Lineage: Bacteria; Pseudomonadati; Pseudomonadota; Alphaproteobacteria; Hyphomicrobiales; Phyllobacteriaceae. The record is from RNAcentral.